UUUCAUGUUUAUAGUGUGUGUUUAAUAUUAUUUCAUUCUUUUAAUGUGAUUUUGUACAUAUUUAACUUAAUUAUAGUAUAAACAAAUAUAUGAGAAACACGGUAUCGACCAAGAAGAUGUUAUGAUAAAUUAAACUGAAUCGAAGCUAAAUAACUUAAAAGACGAACUCAAAACAUUAUAAUUUCAUAAUGAAAUUAUUAAUUUUCAAUGAUAUGGAAUAUUGAACUCAAGUUCUUCGAGCAGCCGUACAAGUAGAGAAAGAGCGGGAAAGAAGACCACGAUAUAAUAAAGUGCUCGACAAUGCAUUUAACAAUAAUUUUCCUGGUGUUCGCAGUAUUAUGUACGUCUACAAUUGCCCAAAAAGUAAUAAAAUAUUGCUAUGAAUGCGAGGCCAUGUUACCCAAGAUGAGUGCAAGAAGACCAGACACCUGUGAAGGCGGAAUGUUCAAGAGCUAUAUCCCAAUGAAAGUCCAAUGUGAAUAUGCAUGUCUUAAGGUCGCUGAUGAACAUCCCUCAUAUACAACAUAUCGUCGAGGAUGCGCCAAUAAAAUGGAAGCAGAGUACAUGGGUUGUAGAUACAAUAAGAAACCUAUGAAUCAAUCGUUAACAACUUGCACUUGCGAACAGGAUUUAUGCAACCGAGCGUUAAUGUUUAACAGUCCUGUACUAAAAUUUGUCUCUGGCGUUGUUGCAUUUUUCUAUAUUAUGUAAACAUGUAAAGUUUUUUAUUACAAUUGGGAAGUAUUAGUCUAAUGAUUAACAAAAAAAAAAAAAAUGUAUUUGAAUUUACAUUCAAUCUGUAACUAUAAAACUAAUUAUAAUAAUA
Plodia interpunctella (Indianmeal moth) is the source of this 826-nucleotide long non-coding RNA. RefSeq lists it as uncharacterized. The transcript has 5 exons. NCBI's taxonomy places the organism in Eukaryota, Metazoa, Arthropoda, Insecta, Lepidoptera, Pyralidae. The record is from RefSeq and is a predicted model, not a curated record.